GGCCGACUAGCUCAGUUGGUUAGAGCGUCGUGCUAAUAUGCAUCUGUUUCAAUGCUAUUAACGCGAAGGUCUUGGGUUCGAUCCCCACGUUGGCCA
Molecule: non-coding RNA, 96 nt
Organism: Desarmillaria tabescens
Lineage: Eukaryota; Fungi; Basidiomycota; Agaricomycetes; Agaricales; Physalacriaceae
Source: the annotation of a RefSeq genome assembly